This 264-nucleotide long non-coding RNA is filed under the name Ananas comosus (pineapple). RNAcentral's name for it is "long non-coding RNA (ACOM_LNC004193)". The record is from RNAcentral. Lineage: Eukaryota; Viridiplantae; Streptophyta; Magnoliopsida; Poales; Bromeliaceae.
UUUCGAUGAUUUGGUUGAUUCUUCUCUCUCAAAUAAUCUCUCGUAUGAUGUAAAACAGAUGAUAAUUUCUCACUAGAAUGUAAGUGAAAGUCUAUAUCGAUUUCUCAACAAAAUCUGAUCAGAAUUUUAUUUAAUUUAAAAAGAUAAAAAAUAAAAGGUAUAUUAAGUAGUUUAUUUUUUAAAAAUUUAAUUUUUAUUUAUAGUAAAUUUAAAUUUGAAUAUGAUUAACAGAAUCAUUUAUGAAAAUUCUAAGGCUAGUAAUUA